This 319-nucleotide ribosomal RNA is filed under the name uncultured bacterium. RNAcentral describes it as "bacterial SSU rRNA". It matches the Rfam family "Bacterial small subunit ribosomal RNA", at positions 470 to 789 of the family's 1533-position model. The record is from RNAcentral.
UGACGGUACCUGCAGAAGAAGCUCCGGCUAACUACGUGCCAGCAGCCGCGGUAAUACGUAGGGAGCGAGCGUUAUCCGGAUUCAUUGGGCGUAAAGCGCGCGUAGGCGGCUUGCCAAGCGGGAUCUCCAAUCUGGGGGCUCAACCUUCAGCCGGAUCCCGAACUGGCAGGCUCGAGUUCGGUAGAGGAAGACGGAAUUCCCAGUGUAGCGGUGAAAUGCGCAGAUAUUGGGAAGAACACCGAUGGCGAAGGCAGUCUUCUGGGCCGUAACUGACGCUGAGGUGCGAAAGCUAGGGGAGCGAACAGGAUUAGAUACCCUG